AUGGGCCGUUUAGCUGUAAUGCUUUCAACACCGCCAGUACUGGAACCACUGAGCCUCUACAUCUCAGUAUCAGCUUCCAACCCUCAGGCUGAGUUUCAAUGGGCUUUCAAUGGGAACCAGCUGAAUGGGACAAAUCCAGAUCUGAAGCUAUACAGUGCUGUGGAGAGCCAGAGUGGCCUAAGCUCCUGCCUGGCUUUCAACAACAGAACCAUGAGCUACAUCAACGUCACCAGACAGAUCACCAUCAGCUGUGGGUCAGUGUCAGUACAGCUGGGGGUUAGUGUCUGGCUCCUUCUCCUCCUCUCCUCAUUGGCCAGGGUCCUCAUCUGAACGUCAAUGGACAAGCAAGUCUCACAGACCAAAAAAUGUAUUUAGUUAAGUGAACCCAUAAAAGAUAAUUAUUCAAACAUGCAUUUCACUUACGUAGUUCCAUGGGCCAGGGCAAUGUGAAUAAAAUGAUGUAAUUGACUGAAAGAGUUUUAUAAUAUGGUGAAAUAAUGUCAUAGAUGUUGAUAUAACCGAACAUGGUCACUCGUGUUCAAUGUCAGACCACAGUGUGCUUCUUGUGAUGAUGUAUAAUGGCUAUGAUAUCAGAAGGGUGUGUGUCCCCACUGGCUUCAACUGAGUAUACAAAACAUUAAGAACUGCUCUUUCCAUGACAUAGACUGACCAGGUGAAUCCAGGUGAAAGCUAUUAUCCCUUAUUGAUGUUACUUGUUAAAUCCACUUCAAUCAGUAUAGAAUGAAGGGGAAGAGACAGGUUAUAGAAGGAUUUUUAAGCCUUGAGACAUGUAUUGUGCAUGUGUGCCAUUCAGAGGGUCAAUGGGUAAGAGACCAUAUUUAAGUGCCUUUGAAUGGGGUAUGGUAGUAGCUGCCAGGGCAACAGUUUGAGGGUGCAAUUCAAUAUUAGGAAGGUGUUCCUGAUGUUUUGUACACUCACUGUAUUUAGAACGAGAGAAUACAUUGCACCAUAUUAAUCUAGUCAAAUAUCUAUCCAUUCAAAUAUUUACAGAGAAGAAUGAAAAAUGUGUAGAAAUAUAUUUAACCACUAUGAUGUUAUUUAAAACACGGCAUCACUCAUCAUCACGAUGGUAUUUACAGGAGUAAAACUUAGGGAAACACAAGAGGCACCUGUGUAAUGAUCAUGCUGUUAAAUCAUUGUCUUAAUAUGCCGCACCUGUCAGGUGGAUGGAUUAUCUUGAAAAAGGCUAAAAUGCUCAGGUUAAUGUAAACUUCCUACUUCAACUGUAUCUUGUCAAAUAUUAACAGAGAAGAAUACCAUGGUAUUUACAGGAGUGAAACUGACACAUGACUCUUUCACAAUGUCUUACAAAUAUUUUCCACAGAUUUCUGGACCUGUCAUCCUGAGAAGGAACAUUUCUGCUGUAAUUGCAUCCUGAUACAGAAUAUAUCUCUCAUUCCACUAUCAUGCUGUCGAUGGAAUUAUUUAUCUGAACAUUUUAGCAAAACAUCCUUCAUUGUCUUUUUUCAUUAUUGAAGAUUUAUUCUUCCAGAUUAGUAUCACAAUGAAGAAUCAUAUAUCAUGUACAGUAUUUCAACACCUCUCAGUACUGUAAUUUGCUCGAGACCUGGUGGAAUAACCAAAGUGUAUCAAGCAUUCUUGCUGGAAUAUGACUCUGAUUUGAAUAUAAAGUUCUUAAUUGUUUUGAUAAAGUUGUUUUAAACAAACUAUUAUUUUCAAUAAAUCUGACUGUUCAAUAAUGGUACACAGUGCAUUCAUGCAACAUGUUCUACAGUAUAUGGAAAGGAAAGGUAUGUGUUUAUUUAACAGAACAAUACUAACACAUCACUCCUAUUCCUUAUUGCUAUGAGCUGACUGAAAACAGUCAUAAAGCAUACCUCAUUUGAGACAGUAUAGAUUAUGAUAAAAUAAGUUCCAAGCAUCACACACUUCAAACCCUUAAUCAUAGAUAUAAAGCAGUGUUCUAUAUGCCCUUGACCCUGUUCAGUGUUUACAUCUGUCAACGUGUUGGUGACAGUCAUAAGGAAUUACUCUUCACAACAACCCUGCAUGUGAGCUGAAUCUGCUGGGGGUGGAACCACUAUACCAUUAUUCAGACGAAUGCCAUUUACCUGUCAGGAACACAAAGAUGGUCACCAAGUUAUGGAUGUUUUUAGCUUUACAGACAAACAAAAACUCAUGACAUAGUAUUAUUGGAAGCAACUAUUAAAUACC
Long non-coding RNA from Oncorhynchus mykiss (rainbow trout), 2196 nucleotides. Lineage: Eukaryota; Metazoa; Chordata; Actinopteri; Salmoniformes; Salmonidae. The record is from Ensembl.